UGUCAUUAACUCUGAGUUUUGUACACGUUUUUUUAUUCAUUUGCUCAGGGUAUGGUGCACUUGCUACCUUGCCUUUCCGCUGACGUUUUCUAAGCCAUUCUCUUUGAGAGUCAUUGAUGUUCUAUAAGCGACUUAAAGUGAGGGAAGCCUGUGUUUGUCAAUAUUCAAAUGCAGAUCGAACAUUGAAGCAUAUUUCUGUCUAUUUUGGUGGGAUGAUGGCAUUUUAUGUGAAUGCAGCCAUGUCAGUAUGAUUUGCAGAGUGGUUCUUAGCAACAUAUGAUAAUGACCUUUGUUUUAUGUUGAACUUGACCGCAGUUUGUUACUCAUGCCCGCUAGGUAGUUGUCUUAUUUGGUGGUGCAACAUAUUGGCUGUAGGGUUCUGUUGCUUUCAGCUUGUUCGUGUUUACAAUUUCUUGUCCUAGUCCUCAUUAACGGUAACAACUAUUGGUCUGCAAGGUCCCAAAACGUGAUUCCACAGAGCCAUUAUCAUUCAACUUGGUGUAGUCAAAUAACUUUGGUUCACAAUUGUCCUACAUAAGAUCCGGUGUGGUAUGCCUCACAAGGUAGCUUUGCGCUUACUUACUCAUGAUUUCCCUUUUGAUUUGUCUAUUUGUUGAGUUGAUUAGGUACUGUAAGACCUACGGCUUGCGCAUUUUCUAGCUCGUGCCCAUCUGCUCGCUUGGAUCAUUUUAGUAGGCUUCUCCACUCCUUUUACUGUUACUGUCUUUAUAGUACCUGGUUUUUCAACUACCACACCUAUUUCAGUAACCUUCACACCUGUUUUUUUCUUUUAAUUUAUGGUUUUCCAAGUUCUGUGCCAAAUUUGUGGUGCUUGAGCUGAAACAACUUCAGGUAGGCUAAUUACGGGCACGUGCUUGAUAGAGCUAAGAAACAGCUAACCAUAAUUUAUGACACAAUAGCAAGAGUAGACUGGGGAACUCUUACGGUGAUUCUAGGCUAGUCUACAAAACAAAAUUUACAAUUCCAGCCAAGAAGAUGAAAAAGGGAUAAAGAAACCUAAGCUUUGCAUAAGCUAGGCUUAUCUGGAUGUGUAUUUUACAUGCUAAGCUGAGCUUCUCCAGACACAAUUCUUUGGUGACUAAUUGAAGCAGUACUGGCACCAGUCCCCGUAUUCUUAAUUCUCUUGAUGUAACAAGCGCACAAAAGGAAGGUAAUAACACAAACAUAUGGGAACGACUCUCGUGUUUCUCCUGCGUUGUUGUCGACUGUUAUGCAUUGAAAGUUUGUUCAUGGUGCUACAAACCUCGCCUUUUGAUGUCCACUUGCUAUGUUCGAACUAUUCCUUACCCUGACACGUUUUACUUGUAAUAUGUAGUGACUUAGGUUACGUUAUCAAGUCAUUUGGCCGUGUUAAACAUGUAUUUGCAUCACAAUAUGAAAUGUAUAUGGGUCGGUUGAAUUUGAAGCAAAUGAUUGUAUGUUGUACGGUUGGUUUAUAAAUGAAAGAUGUAAUUUUAGUAUGUGAACAUGCUUUGCAACUGUAUUGUACUUAUAGUUUCAAUCAUAAAUUACAAUGAGCCAAAGGUGAAUUAUGGAAGAAUAACAAGAGG
This 1571-nucleotide long non-coding RNA is filed under the name Lathyrus oleraceus (garden pea). RNAcentral's name for it is "Pisum sativum (pea) long non-coding RNA (PSAT_LNC027915)". The record is from RNAcentral. Lineage: Eukaryota; Viridiplantae; Streptophyta; Magnoliopsida; Fabales; Fabaceae.